AUAUAUGAGGAAAAUCUGUUUGUGACAUCUGUCAUCCCAUUCAUCACCAUGGCUGAUUCAGAUGUUCUUACUGGUUAGAUAGAUAUCAACAUUUUCCUUCACUGCUGCAUGUACAUCCUUCCUGAAUGUGUGAGCUCAGUCAAAGAGGUUAGCAUUCCAUGAAGAGCACAAGACUAGUCUUUGGAGAAGAGUGCAAGAGAAGCUGCAUUCCCUUGCUAGAACCUCCAAACAAGUUCUCAGGGGGAUAUUUUAAAUCAAUAGCUCUUAUAAAACAGGAACACUCUAUUUUCAGUGGAAACCAAUCAUG
Molecule: unclassified non-coding RNA, 307 nt
Organism: Cricetulus griseus (Chinese hamster)
Lineage: Eukaryota; Metazoa; Chordata; Mammalia; Rodentia; Cricetidae
Gene: 7SK
Rfam family: 7SK RNA
About the family: 7SK was discovered as an abundant small nuclear RNA in the mid-70s but a possible function has only recently been suggested.
Source: Ensembl